CAAUAGCGUAUAUUAAAGUUGUUGCAGUUAAAAAGCUCGUAGUUGGAUCUGUGGUGUGCGGUGGGCUCCGGGCACUUGUUGUCUGAGUAGCUCGCCGCUGCCAUCCUUGGGUGGAACCUGUGUGGCAUUAGGUUGUCGUGCAGGGGAUGCCCAUCGUUUACUGUGAAAAAAUUAGAGUGUUCAAAGCAGGCUUAUGCCGUUGAAUAUAUUAGCAUGGAAUAAUGAGAUAGGACUUUUUCGCUAUUUUGUUGGUUUGCGCGAAGAGGUAAUGAUUAAUAGGGACAGUUGGGGGUAUUCGUAUUCCAUUGUCAGAGGUGAAAUUCUUGGAUUUUUGGAAGACGAACCACUGCGAAAGCAUUUACCAAGGAUGUUUUCAUUAA
This 380-nucleotide ribosomal RNA is filed under the name uncultured eukaryote. Its description in RNAcentral is "partial 18S ribosomal RNA". It matches the Rfam family "Eukaryotic small subunit ribosomal RNA", at positions 592 to 976 of the family's 1831-position model. The record is from RNAcentral.